GUAGUUUCGUAGCAGGAGAUAGUUUCUCUGUACGAGAGGUUCUGUCAGCUCGAUCGCAGCGGCGGAGGUUUCAUCUUCGCCGACGAGUUUUCUGUCCGUACCGGAAUUCGCAGUCAAUCCUCUCUCUCAGUUUUGGCUGGGUGGACGUAGAUACUGGGGGAGAGGGAUUGGAGCAAGACCAUAUAAGCAAGAUCUUCACUUCUCUUUCGUUUCCAGGACCCUCUAUCAAUAUCAGCACUUCUGUUCGCCGACAUCAGAAACAUCCAUCAACAUCAAUACCUAUCACGGCCUGCUCCCAAUCUGAGAGAGACGACGAUUUGACUAAAAUCAAAUAGAAAAGGUUUCAUCUAUGAACAUACUUCUUUUCUUAUUUCUUUUUCUUUCUUUAGCUAUCCUUUCAUUUUAAUGAAAUUUAUAGGAACUUACUGAUUCGGCGAAGCACAAGAGAAUGGCUUUGAGUCUGAGUUUAUUUGAGGGUCUUUACUUACAGAGGUUGCUCUCUAGGUUAGUCAAGUAAUUAAAUCUAUGUUUUAGUUGAAUUUGUGAUCUUCUUUCUGAGUUCUAAUAAAUUUCCUUUCUAACAUUCAAUCAUUUUCAGAGACAAGUUUUUCUUUUCUUUGUUUCUGGUAUCUCUAAAUGUAUACUUUCUAAUAUUUUGCAUGAACUUGCAUAUACGAUUAUUUGAAAAAGAAAAAAUAAGAAGAACAAAAAUAACAA
Long non-coding RNA from Rosa chinensis, 717 nucleotides. RefSeq lists it as uncharacterized. Lineage: Eukaryota; Viridiplantae; Streptophyta; Magnoliopsida; Rosales; Rosaceae. The transcript is spliced from 3 exons. The record is from RefSeq and is a predicted model, not a curated record.